Molecule: ribosomal RNA, 226 nt
Filed under: Leptocylindrus danicus
Lineage: Eukaryota; Bacillariophyta; Leptocylindrophyceae; Leptocylindrales; Leptocylindraceae
Description: partial Eukaryotic small subunit ribosomal RNA
Rfam family: Eukaryotic small subunit ribosomal RNA
Source: RNAcentral
AUUCUAGAGCUAAUACAUGCACAAAAGGCCCUUCACGGGGUUGUAUUUAUUAGAUAAAAGACCAAUGGCUUCGGCCUUGAGGUGAAUCAUGAUAACUGCUCGAAGCGCAUGGCCUUGUGCCGGCGCUGCAUCAUUCAAAUACCUGCCCUAUCAACUUUCGAUGGUAGGAUAGUGGCCUACUAUGGUGGUGACGGGUGACGGAGAAUUAGGGUUCGAUUCCGGAGAG